AUUCUUAUGGACCUGGGGCCUGUCCUGGGGAGGUAAAGGCUCUUCCAACCAUGACUCUAUCCCUUACUGCUCCCAGAGACUCAGCUGCUGUCACUGAACUGGAAAACGCCUGAUGUCAGGCCUUGCACACCGGUUAUUUCCAACUUCCUAAUCUGUGCACGUGAGUGUAGCUGAGAGCUGGGGCUACUGAGGAAUUGAAACCACCGCCUGUCUGCCCCCUCGGAGAGCAAUUUUGCCUUCCCUGCAUGUGUGAAUGGACAUCCAAGGCUUCCCUGCAAGCCCCUUUCCACUUUCCUGCCCCUGCCACCCUAACCACAGGAUGGUGAUAGCAAAAAUAAACUGUGUAAACAGGAGGUGGGUACUCAGUAAGUAGCAGCUACUGUGAAAACAGCUAUGUAGCUCACAACUUCAAACUGUGCCUUGCCCUUCAGGCACUUUUUUAAUAAGCAAAAAUCCGUUUCAAAUGCACCCUUGCCUUGUAGUAUGGAAUUAGUACUUUUAACUCUGAUUUUGUUUACUUUAACAAGACACAUCUCCCUGUAACUGGACUCUCCUGGGUGGGCUGCCUUCCUCUCCACUACUCUCAAAGGAGGCUUUGGGACCAUGUCUGACCACAGCUACUUUGAUCCCGAAAGCCUUUAAUCUAGAGCACCUGCUUAAAGGUAUCCUCGCUCAUAUAAAUAAAGCAAGCUCCAGCAGUAGGGAGGUACCCACAUCAGGAGGCCCUGGUUUCUGAUGUGAUUUCAGGCUCCUUCACGGGGGAAGUAAGUCUAUGCCACCCUUUGCUGUCCCCUCUCUGGCUUGUGUCUCAAAGCUUCCUUUCUUCAUACUCAUUGUACAGACCUUUUCCUAGUCUGUCUCUGCCUUUCUGUCCCCUGGGAAGAAAGUAGAAGAAAGAAACCAUGACUAUUUGUUUUCUCUCGGUCAGUUGAUCCCUAGAGCCAAUUGUCUCACGCACAAGGGGGAGUGGGGGGGGGAGCACAGACAGGUCUGAAGUCAACCAUCCACAGCAGGUUUUCAACAAAAACUUUAUUAGUACCACCUUGGCCAUAGGUGAGCCAGCAUUGUGUGUAGCGGAGAGGAGGUGUGGAGUCAGCUUCCACUGCUCUGAGUGGAGCUGCCUCUCCCCCUUGUGUUCUGCAUGUGGGGUUGCAGCGGCUACUGAGCAUCCUCUUUGCAGCCAUAACUCUGCAGCACCUCCUGCACCCGUGUGUGUCCCACCCUGCCUGCCAUCUUUAUUCAGCACUCUGUACCCUGAAAAGCCCACAGGCAUGCCCAAAUCAGAAAGCACGGAGCCCCUGCACUUACUUGCAUCCUGUAUCUUCUGUGUAAGUAGUUGUGUUAUUCGUGUCAAGUUGAUUCAUGUAUUCUCUAGUUCUUUCAAACUGCCGAGUGAAAACAGCAUAACGAAAUGGGGAUUUAAGAAAGCAGAGGUCAGGACUGCGAGGGAAAAAGGAGAAAUACAUCUCUGUUCAGCUUUAUUUUUUUUUUCUGUAAGUCAACAUGACUCCCGUUUUAAAUUCAUAAUGUGGUAAUGUAAAGAUGCUACAUGGGGAAGUAGCCCUAUGGACCAUCUAGAGAGCAAUAGGGCUCCAAGAAAUAAAGACAAAGCAAAGCGAAAC
This 1622-nucleotide long non-coding RNA is filed under the name Mus musculus (house mouse). RNAcentral's name for it is "long non-coding RNA chr11:81973691-81975313". The record is from RNAcentral. Lineage: Eukaryota; Metazoa; Chordata; Mammalia; Rodentia; Muridae.